Molecule: ribosomal RNA, 253 nt
Filed under: uncultured bacterium
Lineage: Bacteria
Description: partial 16S ribosomal RNA
Rfam family: Bacterial small subunit ribosomal RNA
Source: RNAcentral
UACGGGGGGGGCAAGCGUUGUUCGGAAUUACUGGGCGUAAAGGGCUCGUAGGCGGCCAACUAAGUCAGACGUGAAAUCCCUCGGCUUAACCGGGGAACUGCGUCUGAUACUGGAUGGCUUGAGGUUGGGAGAGGGAUGCGGAAUUCCAGGUGUAGCGGUGAAAUGCGUAGAUAUCAGGAGGAACACCGGUGGCGAAGGCGGGUCUCUGGACCGAUACUGACACUGAGGCACGAAAGCCAGGGGAGCAAACGGG